Molecule: ribosomal RNA, 354 nt
Filed under: Nitrospinaceae bacterium
Lineage: Bacteria; Pseudomonadati; Nitrospinota; Nitrospinia; Nitrospinales; Nitrospinaceae
Description: partial 23S ribosomal RNA
Rfam family: Bacterial large subunit ribosomal RNA
Source: RNAcentral
UGUUCGCCCAUUAAAGCGGUACCCGAGCUGGGUUUAGAACGUCGUGAGACAGUUCGGUCCCUAUCCUUCGUGGGUGUUGGAAAUUUGAGGAGAUCUGCUCCUAGUACGAGAGGACCGGAGUGGACGAACCUCUGGUUUUCCGGUUGUGAUGCCAAUUGCAUCGCCGGGUAGCUAUGUUCGGAAAGGAUAACCGCUGAAAGCAUCUAAGCGGGAAGCCAACUCCAAAACUAGAUUUCCCUUCCUCCUUCGGGAGGACCGUAGACCCCUUGUAGACUACAAGGUUGAUAGGCCAGAUGUGUAAGCACAGCAAUGUGUUCAGCUAACUGGUACUAAUUGGUCGCGAGGCUUGAUCUU